RNAcentral lists this ribosomal RNA (459 nucleotides) under uncultured bacterium. Its description in RNAcentral is "partial 16S ribosomal RNA". It matches the Rfam family "Bacterial small subunit ribosomal RNA", at positions 338 to 795 of the family's 1533-position model. The record is from RNAcentral.
ACUACGGGAGGCUGCAGUGAGGAAUAUUGGUCAAUGGUCGGGAGACUGAACCAGCCAAGCCGCGUGAGGGAUGAAGGUACAGAGUAUCGUAAACCUCUUUUGUCAGGGAACAAAGGCGGGGACGUGUCCCCGGAUGAGUGUACCUGAAGAAAAAGCAUCGGCUAACUCCGUGCAAGCAGCCGCGGUAAUACGGAGGAUGCGAGCGUUAUCCGGAUUUAUUGGGUUUAAAGGGUGCGCAGGCGGUCUGUUAAGUCAGCGGUCAAAGCCCGGGGCUCAACCCCGGCCCGCCGUUGAAACUGGCAGUCUCGAGUUGGAGAGAAGUAUGCGGAAUGCGCGGUGUAGCGGUGAAAUGCAUAGAUAUCGCGCAGAACUCCGAUUGCGAAGGCAGCAUGCCGGCUCCACACUGACGCUGAGGCACGAAAGCGUGGGUAUCGAACAGGAUUAGAUACCCUUGUAGUC